Molecule: long non-coding RNA, 4285 nt
Filed under: Gossypium barbadense (sea-island cotton)
Lineage: Eukaryota; Viridiplantae; Streptophyta; Magnoliopsida; Malvales; Malvaceae
Description: long non-coding RNA (GBAR_LNC014949)
Source: RNAcentral
AUAAAUCGAGCCCUCAAGGCCUUAGAAACACUUUAAAAAUAAUUCGGGACUAAAUUAGAAACAUUUAGAAAUUUAUAGAUAAAGAUAGAAAAUUUUACACUGCAGGAGUCAUACGGCCGUGUCCCAACCCUUGUCCGUGCCCAUGUAACUCUCUGACUUGGGUCACACGACCAAGCCACACACCCGUGUGCCAGGCCGUGUAACUUUCGAAAUGGCCUCACACGCUCGUGUGCUAGGCCGUGUGCUAGGCCGUGUAACUGCCUGACUUGCAACGUUUUGAAACCUACAGGGGACACACGACCGUGUCGCAUUGCCGUGUGUCACACGCCCGUGUCUUAGCCCGUAUGGACAAGAAAUAGGCCAAUUUCAAGCCAUUUCCUUCACCCUAAUCAAGCCUGAUCCCAUAAACCAAUUGCACAUAUAUUCAAACCUUGAAAACAUACCUAAAACAUGUACAGCAAUAACUAAAUCAUUACACCAUUUAUCCGUACAACCAAUAUGCUAAAGGCACCUCAAUCACAAAUCAUCAAAUCAACCAAAACAUAAACAUAUUUGGGCAUAAAUCAACCACACACAACUACCUAUUUUCAUACCAAGCCAUAGCACAAUUGACCAUCUGUCAAACCACAACUCAACAUACCAAAUUGGUCAUUCAAAACAUAAAUUCACUUGACCAUCUCAACACAACCAUCAACGCAUUAAAAUGCCAAAAGUUCAUCAACCAUAAUACCACAUUUACAAGCCAAACAUAAUGACCAUUUCAUUAAACAUAAUUCACCUAUUCAUGUCAUUAUAACCAUGACUCAAAACAUCAAAACCUAUCGAUAUAGUCAUUGGAUAGUGUGAUAAGUCUCCGACGAACUUCCAAACCAAUCGAUCUUCCGAUAAUCUAUAAAAUAUAGGAAAGAAAACGACGUAAGAAUAUAAUGUUUAGUAAAUUCGUAAAUCAUGAACAAUACUUACCAUUUCAAUGCAUAAUCCUAAACAUAGACAUGAAUCAAUCCAGCACAAGCUUGGCACAAGCCUAAGCAUCACCAACAGAAGUUAGUGCUUAAUCACAUAACUUAGCCAAAUUCAUCACAUGGUAAGAUAAAUCUCAUAAUCAUAAUACAUAUGAAUUCAUACAUUUCAUAAAAUGGCUAUACAUACUUUGAUCAUCAAUACUUCAUACCUUUCCAUAAUUUCAUAGUGUAAAUCAUUUGGAACCUUUACCGGUCCAUCCCUUUACAUGCCCAUUGAACCACUUAGAAUAAUAUCAAAUACACGGGAAGCUCACACAAAAUGUACUAAUACAUGGUCAAAACCAUUCCUUUCAUUUUCUUUUACGUAAUCACUCAUACGAGCCAUAAAUGGGUCUGAUCACACAAGCUAACGGUCAAAAUGUAGCUACACGAUGCCGUUAUCACAAGCUGAUGAGUAUCUGCAACAAAUGCCUGAACUCAGCCAUCAGUAAGACGUUCAAAACCAGCACCCGAAACAUGGUAACCCUAAUGACAUGUCAUUUGUAUCCUACAUAUUCCUAAGGUUCAAACGAGGCCCAUUAUUCGUCGUAAUGUCAUUGGAUUUUCCGUCGAAACAUAAUAUGAUAAAUAACAUAAUAGAAUUUAAAUCAAAUACAUUCAAGUUAUUUAAACUUACAAACUUAUUUCGAUCACAAAAACGAUGAAAUAGGACCGAUUAGUCCGACACUUUAUCUUUCCCUCGAUCUAAGUCCGUACGAGGCUUAACUUGAUCUAAAUAAUCAAAUUCAAUCCAUUCAAUAUUCAUUCUAUUCAAUUAAGUUCAAAAAUCAUACUUUUCAAAAUUAUGCUUUUUCCCCUAUUGUUUUAAUUCCUUUACAAUUCAGUCCUUAAGCCCGUAAAUUGAAAUUCAUGCAAUUUCAUCCACAUACAAAGCUAGUUGAAUUCCAUAUACCCUCAUAGCAACUCAUACAAUUCAUUAUUUCUCAAUUUCACUUUGUAUUUUACACAUUUUACAAAUAAAUCCCUAAUUGACAUUUUCAACAAAAAUCACUUUACAAAAGUUAUUUAUUAAUCAACUAAGAUUCAUUUUCUUUCAUAAAAAAUCAAAAACCACAUGUAUUCAUUCAUGGCAAAACCCUAACCUUUUAACAAUUUUACAAAUUAGUUCAUGGGAUAGCUAAAUUAAGUUACAACAAUUUCAAAAAUAUAAAAAUCAUUAAGAACGGGACAAAAAUCACUUACAUGCAAGAUAGAAAUUGAACCGAAUACUUCAAAGCCCUAAAAUGUUUUCUUUCUUCUGCACUUCCGGUGGAACAAACUAAGGUUUGAAGAUGAUACAACCAUUUUCUUACUUUAAUUAUGAUAUAUUUAUUUACUUAUUUAACCUUAUUAUUAACCUUGCAAAACACCUAUUUAGUGUCCAUAAAUGUCCACUCAAUAUAAAAUAAUCUAAUUACCAUUUAAAUUCCUUAAUCAAUUAAUUUUAUUGUCAUUUGGUACCUUUAACUUAUAUAACUCAAAUUUCGCACUUUUUACUAUUUAGUCCUUUUUACUAAAUUAAGCAUGCAAACGAUAAAAUUUCUUAAAAUAAUAAUAAAAUAAUUAUUUUUAUUAUUGAAUUUGUGGUCCCAAAACUACUAUUCUGAUUUCACUAAAAAUAGGUUGUUACACCUUCUUACACUUGAAAAAGGUUGCGGUAGGUGUUGUUGGAGGGUGGGUUUGGGGGAGAAGAUAUCUAUUACCGAUGAUGCCUAGAUACCAGGGAGUGUUAAUUAUAGGUUACUUUUCGAUGUUCAUAGUAUGCCUAAUUUGAAGGUGUCAGAAUUAAUUGAUGCAAAUCAAAGAACAUGGAAAAGGGAACAGAUUCUUAAUACCUUCUCGUCGGUGGACGCCCAAAGAAUUUUUUGUAUCCUAUUGGCGAUUGAGGCCCAAGAGGAUAUGCUUGCGUGGGGUGGGGAAGCCUCGGGGGAGUUCCCUGUCCGUAGCGCUUAUAAAGUAUUAUAGAGGAAUCCUAUGGAACCUAAUGCUUAUGCUUUACAAGUCGAAACUAGUGAUUUCUAAAAAAAGCUAUAGGGCCUUAACCUCCUUGGGAAAAUUAAAAUUACAAUUUGGAGGUGCUCUUCGAACUAUCUACCUACUUUGGCUAAUAUGAAAUACAAAAAAUUGGUUAAUACAGCUUGUUGUCCUCGUUGUGGAAGGGCAGAAGAAAAUAUUGAUCACCUCUUUCGAAUAUGUGUUGUUUCAGUGGAGGUUUGGUCAGAGUUUAUACUCUUUCAUAUUCUCAAUAAUUUGGAUCUAGCAUUUGAUCAGUGGUUUACUCGAGCUUUUGGGGUGAGCUCUACUCUUCAACGGUGUCUUCUUUGUUGUGCACUUUGGGUAAUUUGGCGUGAUAGAAAUACCAGAGUCCAUGAAAGAAAGUUUGUAUCUGAGAAAUCUAUAGCCGGGUUAGAUGUCAGUUACAUUUCUUAAUUAAAUGAGCUUGAGAUGAGAACACUUACCAAGGCAAAAGAGGCGGUAGAAUGGAAGCAACCCAUGGGAACUAUCAUCAAAAUUAAUUUCGAUGGAACUUAUGACAGACAGAGGAAUAGGUCGGCCUCAUGUAUUGUUGCGAGAGAUGCUGAGAGGGAAGUACUGGUUUCAAAGUCGGAGAACCACGAGGGGUUUCCCCCAGCUUUCGCUGCUGAAGCCAUCGCUAGUCAUCGAGCGAUGCGAUUGGGGUUAGAGAACGGGUGGUAGGAGGUAGAAGUCGAGGAGAUGAAUUAACCAUUAUUCAAAAAUUUCAAUCCCAAUAUCAAGAUAAAUCACAUAUAGGGGCUUACAUUCAGAAUUUUCAUCAGCUAAAAGGAUGUUUUCAAGCAAUCACUUUCAAACAUGUUCCUAGAUCGACUAAUGGACUAGCCCAUACUUUUGCAAUAGAAUCUUUGAAAAGGAGUGAAGAGUUUUACCUGGUGGGGAGUGUUUCAUCCUUUGCAAGAAGUCAUUUUGCUGCGAAGAAGACGAGGGAACCAAAUUAAGGAAGGGCAAACUGUUUAGGAAGUCUUUUGGGAGGAAAGUUGUAUUCUGAGUAGUUUUGGCGAAGAUAGAGGCUUUUUCUGAUAAUGAAACUGUUUAGAAAUGGAGAGUGAUUGAUUGUUGUUAGGAUGAGCAUCUAGAAGGUUUUUGAUUGGGCAACGAAACGGUGGUGCACAUCUUUUAGUAUUUCUUUAUUUUUUCUCCUUAUUUUUCUUUUUUGUUAUUAGUUUUGGAUAGGUUUUGGGCCCAUAUUUGGGUUGUCGAUUGUUUUGUGUUUGGCUACUGUUGGACUUGGUGUUUGUCAUGUUUUU